UACCCUGUUCUUCUGGCUGUGCGUAGGC
Molecule: non-coding RNA, 28 nt
Filed under: Rattus norvegicus (Norway rat)
Lineage: Eukaryota; Metazoa; Chordata; Mammalia; Rodentia; Muridae
Source: RNAcentral